Molecule: ribosomal RNA, 245 nt
Filed under: uncultured Melioribacter sp.
Lineage: Bacteria; Pseudomonadati; Ignavibacteriota; Ignavibacteria; Ignavibacteriales; Melioribacteraceae
Description: partial 16S ribosomal RNA
Rfam family: Bacterial small subunit ribosomal RNA
Source: RNAcentral
UACGUAGGGGGCUAGCGUUGUCCGGAUUUACUGGGUGUAAAGGGCGCGUAGGUGGACUUGUCAGUCAGAGGUGAAACCCUGCAGCUUAACUGCAGAACUGCCUUUGAUACUGCAAGCCUUGAGUCUAGAAGAGAAAAGCGGAAUUCCAGGUGUAGUGGUGAAAUACGUAGAUAUCUGGAAGAACACCAGUUGCGAAGGCGGCUUUUUGGUCUAGAACUGACACUGAGGCGCGAAAGCGUGGGUAG